UGGGACAAAGGUGCUCUGACAUUUUGUGU
This 29-nucleotide non-coding RNA is filed under the name Rattus norvegicus (Norway rat). The record is from RNAcentral. Lineage: Eukaryota; Metazoa; Chordata; Mammalia; Rodentia; Muridae.